This is a long non-coding RNA of Crotalus tigris (Tiger rattlesnake), 2062 nucleotides long. RefSeq lists it as uncharacterized. Lineage: Eukaryota; Metazoa; Chordata; Lepidosauria; Squamata; Viperidae. The transcript has 3 exons. The record is from RefSeq and is a predicted model, not a curated record.
AGCUGCAUAAAAACAGCAGGGGCGCUCAAAGGGCAUAACCCAGAAUUGAUACCUCCCCAGGGGCAGUUGAAGGCUGUCUUCCAUUCAUCACCAGGUUUAAUUCUAACCCAGUAAUAAGCCUCCCUCAGAUUCAGUUUUGUAAAAAUCCUCCCCUGGGCUAGAUGGGCUAACAUGUCCUUCAUUAAAGGAGGGGUACAUGUGUUCUAUACAGACCGCAUUAAUGCCCCUGAAGUCCACACAAAGCCAAAGGCCUCCGUCUUUUUUCUCUUGGAACAAUACAGGAGCUGCAAUCUGCGACCGGGCCAGUUGUAUGAAACCUCAUGCUAAAUUCUUGUCGAUAUACUUCCUCAACUCUUCCAGCUCCCGGGGUGUCAUGGGAUACAUACAUGGCUUUGGCAAUUUAGCUCCCGGCAGGAUGUCAAUCGCACAAUCGGUGGAACGGUGGAACCCUUAACCUACCAGCCGCAUGUUGGAAUUCUUGUACGUAUUCCCGUACUGGCCUCCCCUUCUGUCACAGUCCUAUGAUCUCCGUUUCAGCACGUUGAACCCGAGUGGGGUCUUCAAAGCGGGCUCUCAGUGCAUCAAGAAACAGUCCAACAUCACCCAACUUCCAGGCAUGAUCACUAAACAGAUCAGCAGCCCAGGCAGCUGCCUCCCCCUGUAGGCUUGCCGUUAUGGCCACAACAAUAGCCCAUUGGGAGGAAUACUGUGGUGCAAACCUAUCUAGGUGACUUAGGACAUGUCCCAUAAACAUCGCCAGUCUAUCUGGGUCUCCAUCAAAUGUCACCCCAAUAGAGGGAGAGACCCAAGCUACCCCUGCUGGCCACAUAGCGGCAGCCUGUCCAACCUGCUGACUGUGGCCUGGUGCGGUGAUAUGACGGCUCCCUGUACCUAAUGCCCCUGAGCCUAGAGGAUGGGAAAAUGAUGUAGAGUGGCUUGUGGCCAUGCCAGUUUGGUCCUCUGCCUUUGUUGGCCCUGGUCCAGCCGAAAUCGUGGACUGGCUAGACAGAACCCAGAACAGCCCCUUGGGUCCUGGGAACCUGGAGUACCUCCUGACCUGGGUAAAAACCCCGUUUCUCCAAAUCUGUCACGAAGGACGUCCAAGGUAUACUGCCCAGGUGCCGUAGAAUAACUCCACUCUUCGUCUUCAUCACCCGUGACACGUCUCUCCCUCCAUCCGGAUAGAGGGUCUCUUCCCCCAGUUACAUAAGGGCCGCCAGCCUCCGAGUGUUGUAAAGCUGAACUCAACCACCAUUCCCCCAAAGAUGUUACAAUUGGCUUCUUAGUCUCACCCCCGCUAUCCGCCGGCUGCUGGGCACGCUCCUUAGGUCUCACCACCGGUAAAGCCUCUGUCGCCCCCACCUCGGUGACCGUUCCCUUGUCUGCAGGUGAUUCCGGAAUCUCCCCCACGGGAUCAGCAUCCUGGACUCCCUCUGCCAUAACUGCUCCAAACAACCCCCUUACAGAUGGAGAAGAAAGGGAACUUUCAAGCAAACAAGAAGAAAUAUGUCGAAUGAUGACGUCAUAGGAAGUCUGCAACAGCUUCGGACCUCUGAGGACGGUCGACCAGGAUGGAAACAGAUUGCUGUGUCAAACUCUCUUUAUUACUGUAAAGGCUGGUCAAAGGCUAAUAAAGAGAUUUGAUUUGAAUCCGUUCAAUAUCACAAGUUGAAGAAAUAGCCUAACUAUGAAUGAGUCUACAACUGAGGGGGGAAUCAAAAAAUAAGGUGGGCAGGCUGCCACUCAAGAGGAAGAAAAUCAUUGAAGGAAGCACCCACUCCCUUCCCUCGAGGCACUGUGACUUUGAAGCAGAAUAAAACGGCAAACCUCACAAUGUACUUCUCUCUGUCUUUAUCUGAAAUGAUCAGCCUCACCCCUACUGACUCCUUUGAAGGAAAAGGUUUAUUCAGUCUGGAAGUCCAAUAAUUGGGGAAUUUAAGGUGCUGUCUACAGACAGGUACGAGAAUGAAAUACAGGUAAUUGUCCAUUUACAACAGUUCAUUUAGUGACCAUUCGAAGUUACAACAGCACUGAAAAAGUGACUUAUGACCAUUUUUCACAU